CCCUUGUGAUUAUAUAACAGCUCUCAAGAGGAAGCUGCUAACAAGACCAUCUGACAUUUUUUUGCCAGCUGUUUUAGUGGAGGCGUGUUGGAUUAGACUGAGCUCCACCUUCUCUGAUGAGCAAAGCAUUUGGAAAAUGACAGAGCCUGAAGAAAAAGGAAUUUCAAAAUCUGGCUCCCCAUUUUCUCCUGAGCAGGUCUGCUCUUCUACAUGUGUGGACAAGUAGGCAAGAGUGGUCUACAAGCUCCUUCUCAGCAAGCCCGGCUGUUAGGAGUCAUGACUUCGCAUGAUGCAGUGACUCCUGCUAAGUUCCUAAAUGAAUGGAAGUGUAUACCAGAAGAUGAAUGCAACCUUCAAAACACCCUGUUCAGCUUUGUAGAGGGCUCUGGGAGAGUGGUUCUGUGGAGUCUGGAAAUGCUUAAAAAUAGCUUUGCUUGGGACACCACACAAUCUGCUGACAUUUUGGAACUCCGGGAUAAAAACAGAACAUUUCCAACAGCAAAGGUCUCCUGAAGUUGUUGAAAGAAGAUUAGAACAGUGGUUCUUCUUGCACGUUCUUUUCUUAAGUCAUUUUUCUUAAAAACUGAUUCCCUCCAACUGAAACACUGAAGGCAAACUUCCAUGGCCAGAGAAAUCACUUGUCAGAGAGACAAGACCAAUUACUUGUUAAAACAAAAACAGGUAAAUCCUACCAGGGCAGAUCCAUUGCCAUAAUGAGGAAUUUUGCCAGGUUAUACUUUUGUGUGUGUGUGUGUGUGUUUAUUUUUCUAAUGAUACUCUACAUCAGAAUUUCACAGGAUCACAGAAUGGCUGAGGUUGUAAGGGAUCUCUGAAGAUCACUUUGUCCAACCCCCUUACCGAGCAGAAUCACCUAGAGCAUGUUGUGCAGGAUGGCAUCCAGGCGGGUUUUGAAUAUCUCCAGAGGAGAUUUCCCAAACUGUCUGGGGAACCUGUCCCAGUGCUGUCACCCUCAUAGUAAAGAAAUGCCCUCUCAUACUCAGCAGGAACCUCCUGUGCUUCAGGUUGAGCCCGUUACCGCUUGUCCUCUUGCUGGGCACAACUGAAAAGAGACUGGCUCCAUCCUCUUGACACUCUCCUCUCAGAUAUUUAUACAUAUUGAUGAGGUCGCCCCUCAGUCUUCUCUUUUCCGGGCUAACCAGACCCAGUUCUCUCAUCCUGUCCUAUGACAGGUGCUCCAGUCCUCUAAUCAUCUUUGUAGCCCUCCUCUGAACUCUCUCCAGUAGUUCUAUGUCCCUCUUGCACUGGGGAGCCCAGAACUGGACACAAUACUCCAGGUGUGGCCUCACCAGGGCUGAGCAAAAGGUGAGGAUCACCAUCUCCCUUGACCUGCUGGCAACACUCUUCCGAAUGCACCCCAUUUCAUUAAAUGCUCAACUCUGCUGUCCUUGCCUGUUUUAGAUUACCUCCUAAAAUCUCUGCUUUCUUCACAUUCUGGUGUCUUAAUCUUGUAAAAAUUGUCUCAGCAUGACAUAAGUCUCACACAUAAACUGUUCCUGUUAAUGCUCAAAGAAUUAAAUGCAACUAAAGAUGAAGGUGAUUAUCUAACUACCUGCAGAAUAAUAAACAAACUGCAAUACUUUGAUAUAAGAAGAUU
Long non-coding RNA from Anser brachyrhynchus (Pink-footed goose), 1615 nucleotides. The record is from Ensembl. Lineage: Eukaryota; Metazoa; Chordata; Aves; Anseriformes; Anatidae.